CCGUAGCCCAAGAGAUCGGGAUAACACCUGGAAACAGAUGCUAAUACCGGAUAACAACAGAUGAUGCCUAUCAACUGUUUAAAAGAUGGUUCUGCUAUCACUCUUGGAUGGACCUGCGGUGCAUUAGCUAGUUGGUAGGGUAACGGCCUACCAAGGCGAUGAUGCAUAGCCGAGUUGAGAGACUGAUCGGCCACAUUGGGACUGAGACACGGCCCAAACUCCUACGGGGGCAGCAGCA
This 238-nucleotide ribosomal RNA is filed under the name uncultured Lactobacillus sp. RNAcentral describes it as "partial 16S ribosomal RNA". It matches the Rfam family "Bacterial small subunit ribosomal RNA", at positions 125 to 355 of the family's 1533-position model. Lineage: Bacteria; Bacillati; Bacillota; Bacilli; Lactobacillales; Lactobacillaceae. The record is from RNAcentral.